CAGCAGUAGGGAAUCUUCCGCAAUGGACGAAAGUCUGACGGAGCAACGCCGCGUGAGUGAUGAAGGCUUUCGGGUCGUAAAACUCUGUUGUUAGGGAAGAACAAGUGCUAGUUGAAUAAGCUGGCACCUUGACGGUACCUAACCAGAAAGCCACGGCUAACUACGUGCCAGCAGCCGCGGUAAUACGUAGGUGGCAAGCGUUAUCCGGAAUUAUUGGGCGUAAAGCGCGCGCAGGUGGUUUCUUAAGUCUGAUGUGAAAGCCCACGGCUCAACCGUGGAGGGUCAUUGGAAACUGGGAGACUUGAGUGCAGAAGAGGAAAGUGGAAUUCCAUGUGUAGCGGUGAAAUGCGUAGAGAUAUGGAGGAACACCAGUGGCGAAGGCGACUUUCUGGUCUGUAACUGACACUGAGGCGCGAAAGCGUGGGGAGCAAACAGGAUUAGAUACCCUGGUAGUCCACGCCGUAAACGAUGAGUGCUAAGUGUUAGAGGGUUUCCGCCCUUUAGUGCUGAAGUUAACGCAUUAAGCACUCCGCCUGGGGAGUACGGCCGCAAGGCUGAAACUCAAAG
This 567-nucleotide ribosomal RNA is filed under the name Bacillus toyonensis. RNAcentral describes it as "bacterial SSU rRNA". It matches the Rfam family "Bacterial small subunit ribosomal RNA", at positions 349 to 906 of the family's 1533-position model. The record is from RNAcentral. Lineage: Bacteria; Bacillati; Bacillota; Bacilli; Caryophanales; Bacillaceae.